This 253-nucleotide ribosomal RNA is filed under the name uncultured bacterium. Its description in RNAcentral is "partial 16S ribosomal RNA". It matches the Rfam family "Bacterial small subunit ribosomal RNA", at positions 524 to 776 of the family's 1533-position model. The record is from RNAcentral.
UACGUAGGUGGCAGGCGUUGUCCGGAUUUAUUGGGUUUAAAGGGUGCGUAGGCGGUCUUUUAAGUCAGUGCUGAAAUAUCCCGGCUUAACCGGGAGGGUGGCAUUGAUACUGAAGGACUUGAGUAAAGUUGAGGUAGGCGGAAUUGACGGUGUAGCGGUGAAAUGCUUAGAUAUCGUCAAGAACACCGAUAGUGUAGACAGCUUACUAGACUUCAACUGACGCUGAGGCACGAAAGUGUGGGGAUCAAACAGG